RNAcentral lists this ribosomal RNA (1236 nucleotides) under Malassezia slooffiae. RNAcentral describes it as "eukaryotic LSU rRNA". The stretch from base 289 to 921 matches the Rfam family "Eukaryotic large subunit ribosomal RNA", at positions 24 to 664 of the family's 3401-position model. The record is from RNAcentral. Lineage: Eukaryota; Fungi; Basidiomycota; Malasseziomycetes; Malasseziales; Malasseziaceae.
UAGUCAAAUUCCGAUAGUCGAUUGCACAAGUCGUGAAAAGUCUAUAAAGCCUUGUAAAGAGUCCAAUCCUGAAUUGGAAAGAGCUGAAUACCCUUGCCGACUCACCUGGCUCUGCUAGUAUUUCUCCAGUAACAAGUCAUCUUGUUUGCGCCGAGAUGUUCCAGAAGUGCACCCUCGUGUGUUAUAGCCCUGACUGAUUACGCGCGCGACCCAAGAACGCAGUGUGCCUCGUGGCGGUCUUUGACACCUUCACACUUAAGAAUGCUGGCGAAAAGCUUUUGUGCAUUUCCCAAAUAGCGGAGGAAAAGAAACUAAAAAUUCCSYUARUAACGGCGAGCGAAGCGGGAAGAGCUCAAAUUUGAAAGCUGGCACCUCCGGUGUCCGCGUUGUAAUUUCGAGACGUGUUUUCCGCGUGGCGCCAUGGACAAGUUCCCUGGAAUGGGACAUCGUAGAGGGUGAAAAUCCCGUACUUGCCAUGGACGUACCAUGCUUUGCGAUACACGCUCCAAGAGUCGAGUAGUUUGGGAUUGCUGCUCAAAAUGGGUGGUAGACUCCAUCUAAAGCUAAAUAUCGGGGAGAGACCGAUAGCGAACAAGUACCGUGAGGGAAAGAUGAAAAGCACUUUGGAAAGAGAGUUAAAAGUACGUGAAAUUGUCGAAAUGGAAGCGCUUGAAGUCAGCCAUGCGGCUGGGGACUCACCUUGGCGUCUCGCUGAGGGUAUUUCUCCAGUAGCAAGUCAGCAUUGGUUUGCGGCGCCGGAGAAGGGUCCAGGGAAGGUGGCACCCUCGGGUGUGUUAUAGCCCUGGACUGGAUACGGCGCGGCGGACCAAGGAACGCAGUGUGCCCUCGUGGCGGGUCUUUGGACACCUUCACACUUAGGAUGCUGSSGCUGGCUUUAAGCGGCCCGUCUUGAAAACACGGACCAAUAAAGGCCUUACGCCGGCAUCCUAAGUGUGAAGGUGUCAAAGACCCGCCACGAGGGCACACUGCGUUUCUUGGGUCGCGCGCGUAUCCGUUCAGGGCUAUAACACACCGAGGGUGCACUUCCUGGGACCUUUCUCGGCGGCGCAACAAUGCUGACUUGCUACUGGGAGAAAAUAACUUCAGCGAGACGCAAGGGUGGAGUUCCGACGCAGGGUGACUUCAGGCCUCCAUUUCACAAUUCAUACGUUACUCUUUUCAAAGGGACUUUUCGUCGUCUCAGGGACUGUUGCUAUUCGGGUCUUCGGGCAAUAU